RNAcentral lists this ribosomal RNA (268 nucleotides) under uncultured bacterium. RNAcentral's name for it is "partial 16S ribosomal RNA". It matches the Rfam family "Bacterial small subunit ribosomal RNA", at positions 526 to 791 of the family's 1533-position model. The record is from RNAcentral.
CGAAGGGGGCUAGCGUUGCUCGGAAUCACUGGGCGUAAAGGGUGCGUAGGCGGGUCUUUAAGUCAGGGGUGAAAUCCUGGAGCUCAACUCCAGAACUGCCUUUGAUACUGAGGAUCUUGAGUUCGGGAGAGGUGAGUGGAACUGCGAGUGUAGAGGUGAAAUUCGUAGAUAUUCGCAAGAACACCAGUGGCGAAGGCGGCUCACUGGCCCGAUACUGACGCUGAGGCACGAAAGCGUGGGGAGCAAACAGGGAUUAGAAAACCCUUGU